GAUUUCUUAAAUAUUUUUUUAUUUAAAAAUUUUUUAAAAUAUUUAAGGGGAGUAAUACGCUUUCGUUUUUUGAGUUAUCUAGUUUAUACAAAAAUUAAAAGGGAAAAUCUUUUUACUUUUAGUAAUUUCAAUGAACUUUUUAAUUUUUUAAUAGUAAAUAAAUGUGUAAUAACUUAUUUUUUAAUUUUUUUUAAAAUUUACUAUUUUAAAUAAUAUUUUUAGUUAAUUAAUAAAUUAGUAGAAUUUAAUUAAACAAAUUAAAUUUUAGUUGUAAUUUAGGAUUAAAAAUUAUUUAUGAUUACUGAUUUUUUCUCAGACUGGUUAACAAAAUCUUAGCUACAAAUUUUGUAGUUAUUUCUGCUCUAUGCGAAAAAGUAAAUGGCUGAUAAAACACUAAGGUAGCAAAAUCAUUAGUUAUUUAAUUGAUAACUUGUAUGAAUGAAUUUUCUGUGAAAAUAUUAAUUUUUUACUUGAACUUAUAAAUUUAUUGAAAAUAAUAAUUUUUUCUGUGGGACUAAAAGACCCUAAAAUUUUCAUAAUUCUAGAAAAUUAUUUGGUUGGGGCAAUAUUAAAAACUUAAUGUUUCAUUGAUUUACUUAUUUUUGAACUUUUUUUAAAGAUAAAAAGUAAAAUACUUUAGGGAUAACAGCUUAAUUAUUUUUAAGAGUUCUUAUUAUUAAAAUAGUUUUAGACCUCGAUGUUGGAUUGGGGUAACUUUUUGGGGCAG
RNAcentral lists this ribosomal RNA (727 nucleotides) under Analges lusciniae. RNAcentral describes it as "partial large subunit ribosomal RNA". The record is from RNAcentral. Lineage: Eukaryota; Metazoa; Arthropoda; Arachnida; Sarcoptiformes; Analgidae.